Molecule: ribosomal RNA, 427 nt
Filed under: uncultured microorganism
Description: bacterial SSU rRNA
Rfam family: Bacterial small subunit ribosomal RNA
Source: RNAcentral
GAGUUUGAUCGUGGCUCAGGAUGAACGCUAGCGACAGGCUUAACACAUGCAAGUCGAGGGGCAGCGGGUAGUGCUUGCACUACUGCCGGCGACCGGCGCACGGGUGAGUAACACGUAUGGAACCUGCCCGCAGCAGGGGAUAAGCGGAAGAAAUUCCGUCUAAUACCGCGUAACAACGUUGGGAGGCAUCUCCCGAUGUUUAAAGAUUUAUCGGACUGCGGAUGGCCAUGCGGCGCAUUAGCUAGUCGGCGGGGUAACGGCCCACCGAGGCGACGAUGCGUAGGGGUUCUGAGAGGAAGGUCCCCCACACUGGUACUGAGACACGGACCAGACUCCUACGGGAGGCAGCAGUGAGGAAUAUUGGUCAAUGGCCGAGGAGGCUGAACCAGCCAAGUCGCGUGAGGAAGACGGCCUACGGUUGUAAACC